Molecule: ribosomal RNA, 739 nt
Filed under: Bacillus licheniformis
Lineage: Bacteria; Bacillati; Bacillota; Bacilli; Caryophanales; Bacillaceae
Description: bacterial SSU rRNA
Rfam family: Bacterial small subunit ribosomal RNA
Source: RNAcentral
CUUGCUCCCUGAUGUUAGCGGCGGACGGGUGAGUAACACGUGGGUAACCUGCCUGUAAGACUGGGAUAACUCCGGGAAACCGGGGCUAAUACCGGAUGCUUGAUUGAACCGCAUGGUUCAAUUAUAAAAGGUGGCUUUUAGUUACCACUUACAGAUGGACCCGCGGCGCAUUAGCUAGUUGGUGAGGUAACGGCUCACCAAGGCAACGAUGCGUAGCCGACCUGAGAGGGUGAUCGGCCACACUGGGACUGAGACACGGCCCAGACUCCUACGGGAGGCAGCAGUAGGGAAUCUUCCGCAAUGGACGAAAGUCUGACGGAGCAACGCCGCGUGAGUGAUGAAGGUUUUCGGAUCGUAAAACUCUGUUGUUAGGGAAGAACAAGUACCGUUCGAAUAGGGCGGUACCUUGACGGUACCUAACCAGAAAGCCACGGCUCACUACGUGCCAGCAGCCGCGGUAAUACGUAGGUGGCAAGCGUUGUCCGGAAUUAUUGGGCGUAAAGCGCGCGCAGGCGGUUUCUUAAGUCUGAUGUGAAAGCCCCCGGCUCAACCGGGGAGGGUCAUUGGAAACUGGGGAACUUGAGUGCAGAAGAGGAGAGUGGAAUUCCACGUGUAGCGGUGAAAUGCGUAGAGAUGUGGAGGAACACCAGUGGCGAAGGCGACUCUCUGGUCUGUAACUGACGCUGAGGCGCGAAAGCGUGGGGAGCGAACAGGAUUAGAUACCCUGGUAGUCCACGCC